This 275-nucleotide ribosomal RNA is filed under the name uncultured bacterium. RNAcentral's name for it is "partial 16S ribosomal RNA". It matches the Rfam family "Bacterial small subunit ribosomal RNA", at positions 523 to 796 of the family's 1533-position model. The record is from RNAcentral.
CUACGGAGGGUGCGAGCGUUGUUCGGAAUUAUUGGGCGUAAAGAGCAUGUAGGCGGUCUGUUAAGUCUGGUGUGAAAGCCCGGGGCUCAACCCCGGAAGUGCAUUGGAUACUGGCAGACUUGAGUAUGGGAGAGGAAAGCGGAAUUCCGAGUGUAGGAGUGAAAUCCGUAGAUAUUCGGAGGAACACCAGUGGCGAAGGCGGCUUUCUGGACCAAUACUGACGCUGAGAUGCGAAAGCGUGGGGAGCAAACAGGAUUAGAAACCCGGAGUAGUCC